AACGAACGCUGGCGGCAGGCUUAACACAUGCAGGUCGAACGGGUGUAGCAAUACAUCAGUGGCAGACGGGUGAGUAACACGUGGGAACCUUCCUAGGGGUACGGAACAACUCAGAGAAAUUUGAGCUAAUACCGGAUAAUGUCUUCGGACCAAAGAUUUAUCGCCUUUAGAUGGGCCCGCGUUGGAUUAGCUAGUUGGUGGGGUAAAGGCCUACCAAGGCGACGAUCCAUAGCUGGUCUGAGAGGAUGAUCAGCCACACUGGGACUGAGACACGGCCCAGACUCCUACGGGAGGCAGCAGUGGGGAAUAUUGGACAAUGGGCGAAAGCCUGAUCCAGCAAUGCCGCGUGAGUGAUGAAGGCCUUAGGGUUGUAAAGCUCUUUUACCCGAGAUGAUAAUGACAGUAUCGGGAGAAUAAGCUCCGGCUAACUCCGUGCCAGCAGCCGCCGUAA
RNAcentral lists this ribosomal RNA (451 nucleotides) under uncultured bacterium. RNAcentral's name for it is "partial 16S ribosomal RNA". It matches the Rfam family "Bacterial small subunit ribosomal RNA", at positions 29 to 523 of the family's 1533-position model. The record is from RNAcentral.